This 403-nucleotide long non-coding RNA is filed under the name Rattus norvegicus (Norway rat). RNAcentral's name for it is "long non-coding RNA NONRATT021958". The record is from RNAcentral. Lineage: Eukaryota; Metazoa; Chordata; Mammalia; Rodentia; Muridae.
GUUUCUUGCAUUUUGACACACUGUGAAGACGAACGCAGUUGAGCUGCUGUGUCGUAGUUACUUGGUUGUUCUUUACGUGCUCAUGUCCUAUAGGAAUGGGCAGCGGCAGUGCUGGAAAAGAAGGGGGGCCCUUUAAGGCUCUUUUACGACAACAGACCCAGUCCGCCUUGGAACAGCGGGAGUUCCCCUUCCUCACCUUGACGGCCUUUCCCCCUGGACUUCUUGUGCACGUUGGCGGUGUUGUCAGUGCACGCUCUGUGAAGCUUUUAGACCGGAUCCACAACCCUGAUGAACCAGAAACACGAGAUGCGUGGUGGGCAGAAAUCAGACAAGAGAUAAAGUCACAUGCUAAAGCCUUAGGCUGCCAUGCUGUCGUGGGCUACAGUGAGUCAACAAGCAUCUG